AGACGGAGGUUAAUGGAGGCGCACUGACAGCUUCCAAGACAGACCCUGAGAUGAGGGCCUGGAGAGCUGGGAAGCA
Molecule: non-coding RNA, 76 nt
Organism: Ceratotherium simum simum (southern white rhinoceros)
Lineage: Eukaryota; Metazoa; Chordata; Mammalia; Perissodactyla; Rhinocerotidae
Source: RefSeq, a predicted model, not a curated record